UAGCUUGCUAGACGCUGACGAGCGGCGGACGGGUGAGUAAUGCAUAGGAAUCUGCCCGAUAGUGGGGGAUAACCUGGGGAAACCCAGGCUAAUACCGCAUACGUCCUACGGGAGAAAGGGGGCUUCGGCUCCCGCUAUCGGAUGAGCCUAUGUCGGAUUAGCUAGUUGGUGAGGUAAUGGCUCACCAAGGCGACGAUCCGUAGCUGGUCUGAGAGGAUGAUCAGCCACAUCGGGACUGAGACACGGCCCGAACUCCUACGGGAGGCAGCAGUGGGGAAUAUUGGACAAUGGGGGCAACCCUGAUCCAGCCAUGCCGCGUGUGUGAAGAAGGCCUUAGGGUUGUAAAGCACUUUCAGCGAGGAAGAACGCCUGGCGGUUAAUACCCGCCAGGAAAGACAUCACUCGCAGAAGAAGCACCGGCUAACUCCGUGCCAGCAGCCGCGGUAAUACGGAGGGUGCAAGCGUUAAUCGGAAUUACUGGGCGUAAAGCGCGCGUAGGUGGCUUGAUAAGCCGGUUGUGAAAGCCCCGGGCUCAACCU
Molecule: ribosomal RNA, 539 nt
Filed under: Vreelandella songnenensis
Lineage: Bacteria; Pseudomonadati; Pseudomonadota; Gammaproteobacteria; Oceanospirillales; Halomonadaceae
Description: bacterial SSU rRNA
Rfam family: Bacterial small subunit ribosomal RNA
Source: RNAcentral